RNAcentral lists this ribosomal RNA (349 nucleotides) under uncultured Mycobacterium sp. RNAcentral's name for it is "bacterial SSU rRNA". It matches the Rfam family "Bacterial small subunit ribosomal RNA", at positions 8 to 359 of the family's 1533-position model. Lineage: Bacteria; Bacillati; Actinomycetota; Actinomycetes; Mycobacteriales; Mycobacteriaceae. The record is from RNAcentral.
AGAGUUUGAUCCUGGCUCAGGACGAACGCUGGCGGCGUGCUUAACACAUGCAAGUCGAACGGAAAGGCCUCUUCGGAGGUACUCGAGUGGCGAACGGGUGGGUAACACGUGGGCAAUCUGCCCUGCACUUCGGGAUAAGCCUGGGAAGCUGGGUCUAAUACCGGAUAGGACCUCAAGACGCAUGUCUUCUGGUGGAAAGCUUUUGCGGUGUGGGAUGGGCCCGCGGCCUAUCAGCUUGUUGGUGGGGUGACGGCCUACCAAGGCGACGACGGGUAGCCGGCCUGAGAGGGUGUCCGGCCACACUGGGACUGAGAUACGGCCCAGACUCCUACGGGAGGCAGCAGAAGGG